AAGUCGUAACAAGGUAACCGUAGGUGAACCUGCGGUUGGAUCAUUAAAAAAUUUUAAUAGCCUCUCAUUGUGAAAGCAAUGAAUGUUGGCAUUACAUUUUGUGCACUGUAACGUCUUUGGUGGUUGGGCGGUUUGUCUUUUUGUGACACUCUCGUCUGUCAGCUUGGAUUUAUCAUGAUCCUCGCCGUGGACACGCCACCGUUUGUAUUUCAACUUAUGUUUUCAUGAAUUGUCUGACAAAUACCUGUAUUGAAAAUAUACAAACAACUUUUGGCAACGGAUCUCUUGGUUCUC
This 294-nucleotide unclassified non-coding RNA is filed under the name Spizellomyces dolichospermus. Its description in RNAcentral is "partial internal transcribed spacer region". The stretch from base 1 to 46 matches the Rfam family "Eukaryotic small subunit ribosomal RNA", at positions 1786 to 1831 of the family's 1831-position model. The record is from RNAcentral. Lineage: Eukaryota; Fungi; Chytridiomycota; Chytridiomycetes; Spizellomycetales; Spizellomycetaceae.